This 112-nucleotide ribosomal RNA is filed under the name Caerostris darwini. The record is from RNAcentral. Lineage: Eukaryota; Metazoa; Arthropoda; Arachnida; Araneae; Araneidae.
AACGACCAUACCAUGCUGAAUAUACCGGUUCUCGUUAGAUUAUCGAAGUCAAGCAUCAUUGGGCGCGGUCAGUACUUGGAUGGGUGACCACCUGGGAACACCGAAUGCCGUU